Molecule: long non-coding RNA, 1239 nt
Filed under: Equus caballus (horse)
Lineage: Eukaryota; Metazoa; Chordata; Mammalia; Perissodactyla; Equidae
Description: lncRNA (ENSECAG00000059754.1)
Source: RNAcentral
UCACAGAGGAUGGGCUGCACAGUGGAUGGGCCCACAGUGAUGGGUCCACAGUGGAUGUGCUCACAGUGGAUGGGCUCACAGUGGAUGGGCUCACGGUGGAUGGGCUCACGGUGGAUGGGCUCACAGUGGAUGGGCUGCACAGUGGAUGGGCUGCACAGUGGAUGGGCUGCACAUGGAUGCACUCACAGUGGAUGCACUCACAGUGGAUGGACUGCACAGUGGAUGGGCUCACAGUGGAUGCACUCACAUUGGAUGGGCUCACAGUGGAUGGGCUCACAGUGGAUGCACUCACAGUGGAUGGGCUGCACAGUGGAUGGGCUGCACAGUGGAUGGGCUCACAGCAGUCCUCUCACCUGGCUGCAUAUCCAAUCACCUGGGUCCUCUUAUAUUUCCCAGGACUCCGUGGCACACCUGGCCCAUUAAAUCAGAAAGUUUGGGGUGAUGAGCCAGGCGUCUGUGUUGGAAACAUGGCCAUUCACAUACAGCCCAAGGCACCAUUGGCAGGAAAAUCAGAGGGGCCCUCAGCAACUCUGGGGCUGGCUUAGCUCCCACCCAUUGCCCUAGUCCUCGAAGACUGUCAGCAGCCACCCGUCCAGCUCAUCCCCUCCCUCGUCUGUCUAUUUCAGAGGCCAGAGGAAGGCAGAGAAGAUGAGGAGACCAGCUAAGUUGCAUAGUGCAGAAUAAUGCACUGCCUUGCAGCCACCCAGACCAGAGUUCAAAUCCCAGCUCUGCUGUGUGCUCUUACUGGGUGAUCUUGGAGAAGCUGCCUGACCCCUCCAGGCCUUGGAACUCUAAUCUAUAAAAUGGUGGUGUUAAUAAUCGUCAUCUCCAGUAUCUGUGACGCUGGGGUUAAGUAACAUCCGCUCUGGCUGUGGGAUCCUAGACAUGUUAUUUUGCCUCCCUCUGCUUCAGUGAACCCAUCUUUAAAAUGGGAAUGAUAACUCUUACUCAUAGAGGUGGAGUAAGGAUUAAAUCCAUUAAAUGAAUCAAUCUACACAAAGUACUUAGAACAACAUCUGGCCCGUCCCAAGAGCUUGGCACACCCCCCAUGCCCCACCUCCCUCCUGCGGUCAGGGGCCCCCUAGGCAGGGAUAGUCUCUUGGUCUCUCUUUCUUCUUAAGUGGAAGAUGGCCCCAGGACAGAGGGAGCAGCGAGGGCCUGGAUGCCCUGGAGGAGUGAAGAACCAUAGAGAUUGGUUUCCAAACUCAAAUAGUACUUAGUGAGCACCAGCCCUGUGCC